RNAcentral lists this unclassified non-coding RNA (386 nucleotides) under soil metagenome. RNAcentral describes it as "partial contains 5.8S ribosomal RNA, internal transcribed spacer 2, and large subunit ribosomal RNA". The stretch from base 2 to 120 matches the Rfam family "5.8S ribosomal RNA", at positions 37 to 154 of the family's 154-position model. The record is from RNAcentral.
GUGAAGAACGCAGCGAAAUGCGAUAAGUAAUGUGAAUUGCAGAUUUUCAGUGAAUCAUCGAAUCUUUGAACGCACCUUGCGCUCCCUGGUAUUCCGGGGAGCAUGCCUGUUUGAGUGUCAUUAAAUUCUCAACCCCGAUCGGAUUUGUUUUCGCAUUCGGAGGCUUGGAUAGUGGAGCGUGCUGGCCCCCUCUCAUGGGUCGGCUCCUCUCAAAUGCAUUCGCGGAAUCGACUUUGGUCCAUUUCGGUCAUCAGUGUGAUAAACGUUGCGCUGUUGGCUAGGAUCGAGGUGCCGCAUACAAUGGUCUUCGGACAAUUUUAUAAACCAUUUGACCUCAAAUCAGGUAGGACUACCCGCUGAACUUAAGCAUAUCAAUAAGCGGAGGA